CAAGGGAGGGUCUGUCCAAGAGGGAUCCACUGAAGGAGCCUAUCCGUGUGGAAUCCGACCAAAGGAUCCAUCCGAGGYGGGGCCAGCCAAGGGGGUCCAUGCAAGGGUCCACACAAGGUGGAUGUCCAUCCCAGGGGAUCCAUCCRAGAUGAUCCACCCAAGGAGGGUCUACCCAAAGGGACCCACCCACGGGGCCAUCCAAAAGGAUCCAUCCAAGGACAGGGUGCCCAUCCAAGGGGACACCCGUGCACGGCGCGGGACAGGAGCAAGGGCGAGUGCCAGUUGCCUCUCCGUGCCCGGCAGGUCUGGUCCCUGGGCAACGGCUCUCACCACCCCACCAGGACAGUCGAUGGAGGCACCCACCGCUUGGAAACCCUCCCGCCGGGCCCCGGGGCCACGUACUGCAUCCAGGUGGCAGCUUUCAACGGCGCGGGGCUGGGGGUGCCCAGCAAUGUCACCUGCGGCGUCCCGGGUAGGUGACGGGGCGCAGGGAAGGAAGGGGAUCCCUCCGCGGCAUCGCAUCCCGGUGGGGGGGGUAACACCGUGGCCCCCCGCAGAGCCGCUCCUGGAGGCGGUGGCGCGGGGCCCCGAGGCGAUGCCCUUGGCCGCCCUCGUCGCCGGCGCCGGCGCCCUGCUCUGGGUGACCCUCCUGGCCUUCCUGGUCCACCUGUGCCAGCGCCAGCGCCGCGCCGGCGGCCGCCGCGGCAAAGGUGAGCCCGGAGGGUCGGCGGGGACCAACCGUGGACCCCCCUCGGCACCCGCCGCGUGCCGCCCAGGAGUCACCCCCGUGCCCGUCUCCGCAGGUCUGUGCUGCCRCGCCGGCGAGGACGCGGUGGCCCGGCAGAGGCUGGAGGCCGGCGACUCGCCCUGGCUCUCGGGCACCUGGAAAUCCGCCUCCGGCUCCAAAACGCUGGGCAGCAGCAGCAGCCUCAGCAGCCACCUCCUCUGGAGCGACACCAGUGAGUCCCCCCGGCCCCGGGGGCCCGGGACCCCCCCCACGGGGCCUGGGAGCCCCCCG
This 1018-nucleotide long non-coding RNA is filed under the name Dromaius novaehollandiae (emu). Its description in RNAcentral is "lncRNA (ENSDNVG00000017495.1)". Lineage: Eukaryota; Metazoa; Chordata; Aves; Casuariiformes; Dromaiidae. The record is from RNAcentral.